Molecule: transfer RNA, 76 nt
Filed under: Ailuropoda melanoleuca (giant panda)
Lineage: Eukaryota; Metazoa; Chordata; Mammalia; Carnivora; Ursidae
Rfam family: tRNA
About the family: Transfer RNA (tRNA) molecules are approximately 80 nucleotides in length. Their secondary structure includes four short double-helical elements and three loops (D, anti-codon, and T loops).
Source: Rfam by way of RNAcentral
GCCUGGCUGGCUCAGUGGUGGAGCAUACGACUCUUGAUUGAUCUUGGGGUUUUGAGUUCAAGCCUCAUGUCGGGUG